UCCGAUUUGCCACCGUUGUCUAGCCCAGGUAAGGUUCUUCGCGUUGCGUCGAAUUGAACCACAUGCUCCACCGCUUGUGCGGGCCCCCGUCAAUUCCUUUGAGUUUUAAUCUUGCGACCGUACUCCCCAGGCGGGGCACUUAAUGCGUUAGCUGCGGCACCGCAGGGGUCGAUACCCGCGACACCUAGUGCCCAUCGUUUACGGCGUGGACUAC
RNAcentral lists this unclassified non-coding RNA (214 nucleotides) under uncultured delta proteobacterium. RNAcentral's name for it is "contains 16S-23S intergenic spacer region". The record is from RNAcentral. Lineage: Bacteria; Deltaproteobacteria.